GCGAGGCUGGUUUCGUUUGUUUGGCUGCUUGCAUGGUUGAGGUUGUUGAUUUUGGUGAGGAAUUGCAGUCACUGCAUUGGCUUGCUGACUCCUCUACUCUUGCUGUUUGUGGUGGUUGAGGAAGUGAUGGUGGUCGGUGGAGGAGGCGGCCGCAGCAUGGCCUCCGGCCGCGUCGCUGGCGGUGGUGGAGAGUAGUUCGAGCUCCUUCUGGCGGAGGAGGAGUAGCAUGCGGUCGUUGUCGAGGCGGAGGCGGUCGUUGUCGAGCUUCAUGCGCUCCAUCUCGUGCUCCUUGUUGGUGCUGAAGCGCAGCCACUUGAAGCGCUGCCGCUCCAGCUGGAACGCCCGGCACUGAUACCCCACCCGCUGCUCCUCCAGCUCCGCCGCUCUCCUCCUCA
RNAcentral lists this long non-coding RNA (395 nucleotides) under Ananas comosus (pineapple). RNAcentral's name for it is "long non-coding RNA (ACOM_LNC031054)". The record is from RNAcentral. Lineage: Eukaryota; Viridiplantae; Streptophyta; Magnoliopsida; Poales; Bromeliaceae.